AUGCAUGCGUCACCUUGCUGCAAAUUUCAUGAAGAAAUUCAAAGGAAAGGUGUAUACCAAAAAUUUAUGGCCAGCAUCUUUGACUUGCAGUGUGAAGAAGCACAACUACCAAUUGAGGCAGUUAUACAUGAAUCCCAAAGUGAAAGAAUACUUGCAAACACACCACUCCAAGUUAUGGGCCAGAAUCCAAUUCAGUGA
Molecule: ribosomal RNA, 198 nt
Filed under: Triticum aestivum (bread wheat)
Lineage: Eukaryota; Viridiplantae; Streptophyta; Magnoliopsida; Poales; Poaceae
Description: partial small subunit ribosomal RNA
Source: RNAcentral